Molecule: ribosomal RNA, 253 nt
Filed under: uncultured bacterium
Lineage: Bacteria
Description: partial 16S ribosomal RNA
Rfam family: Bacterial small subunit ribosomal RNA
Source: RNAcentral
UACGUAGGUGACAAGCGUUGUCCGGAUUUACUGGGCGUAAAGAGCGCGCAGGCGGUCGUUCAAGUCGAGUGUGAAAGCCCCCGGCUCAACUGGGGAGGGUCAUUCGAUACUGAUCGACUCGAAGGCAGGAGAGGGUAGUGGAAUUCCCGGUGUAGUUGUGAAAUGCGUAGAUAUCGGGAGGAACACCAGUGGCGAAGGCGACUACCUGGCCUGUUCUUGACGCUGAGGCGCGAAAGCUAGGGGAGCAAACAGG